GCGAAAGCAAGUUAGGGCGUCUGGUGGAUGCCUUGGCUCUCGGAGGCGAUGAAGGACGUGAUAAGCUGCGAUAAGCGCGGGGUAGGUGCAAAUGACCCUUGAUCCCGCGAUUUCCGAAUGGGACAACCCAGCAGUCUGAAGGACUGUUAUCACCACGUUGCUGUGGUGAGGCGAACGCAGGGAACUGAAACAUCUUAGUACCUGCAGGAAGAGAAAAUAACUGAAUGAUUCCCCCAGUAGUGGCGAGCGAACGGGGAAGAGCCCAAACCGUCUGUGUGGCGACGCGCAGNUGAUAAGCUGCGAUAAGCGCGGGGUAGGUGCAAAUGACCCUUGAUCCCGCGAUUUCCGAAUGGGACAACCCAGCAGUCUGAAGGACUGUUAUCAUCACGCUGUGUGAUGAGGCGAACCGGGGGAACUGAAACAUCUUAGUACCCCGAGGAAGAGAAAAUAAACGAAUGAUUCCCCCAGUAGUGGCGAGCGAACGGGGAAGAGCCCAAACCGUCUGUGUGGCGACGCACAGCCGGGGUUGUAGGACCGCGCCGUGGCACUUGUUUUGUGAGCAGAAUGAUCUGGAAAGUUCAACCUUAGAGGAUGACAGUUCCGUAUGCGAAGCGAGACGAGGCCUAGCGGUAUCCUGAGUAACGCGGAGCACGAGUAAUUCUGCGCGAAUCCGCCGGGACCAUCCGGCAAGGCUAAAUACUCCCGGGAGACCGAUAGCGAACCAGUACCGUGAGGGAAAGGUGAAAAGCACCCCUAUUAGGGGAGUGAAACAGUCCCUGAAACCAGACGCCUUCAAGCGGUCGGAGCAUCUUUUUGAUGUGACGGCGUGCCUUUUGCAUAAUGAACCUACGAGUUACCAUGUCCGGCGAGGUUAAGUCUCUCUGAGACGCAACCGCAGUGAAAGCGAGGCUGAACAGGCCGUGAUGAGUCGGAUGGGGUAGACGCGAAACCGAGUGAUCUACACAUGGCCAGGGUGAAGUCCCGGUAACACGGGAUGGAGGCCCGCACCAAUAAGCGUUGAAAAGCUUCUGGAUGAGUUGUGUGUAGGAGUGAAAGGCCAAUCAAACUCGGAGAUAGCUCGUACUCCCCGAAAGGCAUUUAGGUGCCGCGUGCUGUGUUCACCCUGUGAGGUAGAGCGACCGAUAGGUCAAGAGGGCUUCACCGCCUAUCGCGACCUGACGAACUCCGAAUGCUCAGGGUAUGUAGCAGUGCAGUAAGGGUGCGGGUGCUAAGGUCCGUGCCCGAGAGGAGAAGAAUCCAGACCGCCGUCUAAGGUCCCGGAGUUCUGCCUGAGUUAGUCUAACGAAGUCUGGUCUCGAUGACAGCUAGGAUGUUGGCUUGGAAGCAGCCAUUCAUUCAAAGAGUGCGUAACAGCUCACUAGUCGAGAGACCGUGCGUGGAUAAUAAUCGGGUAUAAGGCAGACACCGAAGGCGCGGGAUAGCAUAUUUAGAAAGUAUCGGUAGGGGAGCAUUCCAUCUGCGUUGAAGCCGCGGGACGACCCGCGGUGGAGCGUAUGGAAAAGCAAAUGUAGGUAUAAGUAACGAUAAGGAGGGUGAGAUACCCUCCCGCCGAAAGACUAAGGUUUCCCGGGCGAUGUUGUUCAGCCCGGGGUGAGUCGGGUCCUAAGCAUAAGCCGAACGGCGAGUGCGAUGGCUGACACGGUUAAUAUUCCGUGACUUCCAUCAUGGGCGACGUGGUGACGGAGCAGUGACACUGCCGCCUGCUGACGGAACAGCAGGUUGAAGGGUGUAGGCUAUGAGGCGCGCAGGCAAAUCCACGCGCCGAGCUGAAACCUGAGAGUACGGCACUCUCUUCGGAGAGAGCCGAUAGCGCAGGUAACCAUACUCCCGAGAAAAACCGCUAAGCUUAACCAUGACGGAACCCGUACCGCAAACGGACACACGUAGUCAUGUAGAACAUACUGAGGCGUUGAGAGAGCUCAGCCUUUGGGUGAAGGCCUGAAUUGAAGCCCCGGUAAACGGCGGCCGUAACUAUAACGGUCCUAAGGUAGCGAAAUUCCUUGUCGGGUAAGUUCCGACCUGCACGAAUGGUGUAAUGAUCCGGACGCUGUCUCAGCCGCGAGCUCAGUGAAAUUGUAGUAUCGGUGAAGAUGCCGAUUACCCGCGAUGGGACGAAAAGACCCCGUGAACCUUUACUACAGCUUAGCGCUGCGUCCGGGCAUCGGAUGUGUAGGAUAGGCCGGAGGCUUAGAAGCUGGCACGCCAGUGCUGGUGGAGCCGCCGUUGAAAUACGGCCCUUCCGCUGUCUGGACGCUAAAGUAUCGGUGAAGAUGCCGAUUACCCGCGAUGGGACGAAAAGACCCCGUGAACCUUUACUGCAGCUUAGCACUGGACUUGGGCAUCGGAUGUGUAGGAUAGGCCGGAGGCUUUGAAGCAGGUACGCCAGUACUUGUGGAGCCGUCCUUGAAAUACGGCCCUUCUGCUGUCUGAGUCCUAACAGGUGGUAUAUCUGGACACUGCUUGGUGGGCAGUUUGACUGGGGUGGUCGCCUCCAAAAGCGUAACGGAGGCUUCCAAAGGUGCCCUCGGGCCGAUUGGUAACCGGCCUUACAGAGUGCAAUGGCAUAAGGGCGCUUGACUGGGAGGGAGACAUCCCGAGCAGGCAGGAAACUGGGGCAUAGUGAUCCGGCGGAUGCGUAUGGAAGCUCCGUCGCUCAAAGGAUAAAAGGUACUCCGGGGAUAACAGGCUGAUCCCCCCCAAGAGCUCAUAUCGACGGGGUGGUUUGGCACCUCGAUGUCGGCUCGUCACAUCCUGGGGCUGGAGAAGGUCCCAAGGGUUGGGCUGUUCGCCCAUUAAAGUGGCACGCGAGCUGGGUUCAGAACGUCGUGAGACAGUUCGGUCUCUAUCUAUCGUGGGCGCAGGAGUCUUGAGUGGGCCGGCCACUAGUACGAGAGGACCGUGGUUGACAGACCUCCGGUUUACCGGUUGUGCCGCCAGGUGCACCGCCGGGUAUCCGCGUCUGGUCGGGAUAAGCGCUGAAAGCAUCUAAGCGCGAAGCCUGCCGCAAGAUGAGGGCUCCAUUGAGGGUCGUCGCAGACUACGACGUUGAUAGGGUGCAGGUGUAAAGACGGUGACGUCAAAGCCGAGCACUACUAAUUGCCCGAUAGCUUUCGCAC
RNAcentral lists this ribosomal RNA (3137 nucleotides) under Haemonchus placei. RNAcentral's name for it is "Bacterial large subunit ribosomal RNA". It matches the Rfam family "Bacterial large subunit ribosomal RNA". Lineage: Eukaryota; Metazoa; Nematoda; Chromadorea; Rhabditida; Trichostrongylidae. The record is from Rfam by way of RNAcentral.